RNAcentral lists this long non-coding RNA (2825 nucleotides) under Homo sapiens (human). Its description in RNAcentral is "HSALNT0347629". Lineage: Eukaryota; Metazoa; Chordata; Mammalia; Primates; Hominidae. The record is from RNAcentral.
ACACACACACACACACACACACACCGGCGUACUGGAACCUCUCUCGCGAUCCCGCACCCAGCUUGAAUUCAGCAAGAAUCGAAAACAGGUGUGCCCCCGUGACACACGCGCACAGAGACGCGCCCGGAGAGGAGCAGCCGAGGGCGCAGGCGCGAGGGCAGCCACCCAGCCCAGCCCUCCCACAGCCAGCCACCCCGCUGCCCUUCACCUGCGUGGCUGCGGGGGCCCAAGAGCGCUGAAGCCCCGAGGGAGCCGGUCUCUAGAAAAGUCAGCGGCUGAAGCUGACAGCCCACUCUGAAUAAAUAAAUCAUUUCUGAUCGUUUAUUCCGUGCCUUGGGCACACACCAUGUCUCAUUCACCAUAGUAGAUUCUGGGACCAAAGAUAAACAAGACAAGAUACUUGGUCGGAGGAAACCUCUGGCUUGUGGGGGAAAUACUCAUGUAAAUGGCUUAAAACAACGUGGUACAUCUAUGCAGCCUGCUACUGGAGUAGCCAAUAUCCAUUAGCCUUCAUUUCCACGCAGCAGGAAGAACAGAGGCACGGGGGCAUGGUGCUGCCAGUCAAUAGGUAGAUAAGCUUCCUAGAAGAUUGCAGGGAUGGGGCAGAGGACCAGACUGCAAGAGUGGCUGAGUAGAAAGGGGCACUACGGGUUUCCUAAGUUGUGUACUGUCAAUAAUGUGGGGGCAAUGACGUUCUGACUUCCUCACCAGAGAGCUGGCUCUGGCAGUGACAGGUAGACAGAUGUGAGGCCACACUGCGGGCACAGAAGUGAGUUGGGAGGCAGUCUGAAAGCAAAAUGUGAUGAGGCAUUGGCAGGGGGCAUGGAGAGGAGGGAACUGGGCAGCUGAUGCAAUCUGCAAGAGAAGAAAACCAGCCGAGGUAGGAUGACUCCCAAGUUUCUAGCACCAAGUUGGGUGACUACGUGCCUGACAGCCAAUAAAAGCACAGGUGGAGAAACAUGCUUUAGGAGAAAGAUUGUUCUCAUCUACAUGUGUUGAGUUUGAAAUGUUUGGGGGACAUCCCAGUGUACGUGUCCCAUAAGCCACUGGACACACAGGAGGUUUGGACUAGGAAUAUUGAUCAGUAGUCAUCAGCCCAAAGGUGGCAUGAGAAAGGAUGGAAUGAAUAGGGAAGAUCAUCCAAAUUGUGAAGAAUCUAGGAGGACAGCGUACAGCCAAAGGAAGGAGACUGGAAGCAAGGGUCAGAGAGGUGUGGGACGCAUCAGAAAAGCCAAAAGAGCAGACGACUGUAAGAAGGGAAGGGUCAGAUGUGUACAGGCUGCAGGGAAGACAAACAGGAUGAUAACUGAAAAAAAAAAAAAAAAAGAGUAUCUGAGGGCACUUGUGACCAUUGACAGAGCAGGAUAGUGCUCUAAUGGAGGAAAGGAGGUUGCUCACAAGUACCAGUGACCAUGCUGGCCAUUGCUGCCAGGUCGAAGCCCCUCCACUGGCCCUUGGCCUUGCCCAAUGAAAGCAUUGUCUCCAUUUUACAGAUGUGAUAAGUGUAGAGAGGUUAAGUAACUUUAUAUAGGCACACAGCUGCUCUGUAGACAAUAUGAACCAAUGUGCUCCAAAAGACUAUGUUCUUACUUAACCUCUUAACCCUGACUCUCUACCCUCUCUCCUGCCAUUGAAUAACAUCCUGACUCGUCAAUGCACCUUGAUUCUUUUGAUUAUCUCCCUUUAGUCCAACAACCGUCGUAUCUACAGCGAUCCUUAGAGAACAAUUAAGGCCAGUUGACAGUAAAGAACAAUCAGUGUGUAUUUGAAGUCCAUGCUGAGAGAGCAUCAAUCUUCUGGCAGCUGCAAGACUGACCUAUCAACCGAGGCAUUUCUUCAUUCCCUGCCAUUGUCUCCUCCUCUUGAGAUCGCCAUCAGGCACAGUCACUUUUCUACAAACAGGCAAUAGGACUCCCGCUGCCACCCUGCCCAGAUUUUAGUCCUCUACUGCUGAUAAAGUGAGCAAAGAUACGUGGCACUUCCUGAACCCAAAUACUCUUCUGAGCUGAUUCUAAAUCCACACAGAAUCAACCUACCUCCUAUUACCUCCUUCCAAGCUCUGUGUCCCAUUCUCUCAUUUCAGUCUCAGCUCCAGACAUCAGUGAAUUCAAUGUGAUACAUCAGGGGACAUCACAGGACUUCCCUACUUGAAAAUCAAGCAAUCGUGUCCCUGAAACACUCUGUCUUUAUUCAUGCUCAGUUACCGUAAAGUAGAUGCAACUCUAAGAACCUAUGGAUUUUUUUAUUGCCACUAAUAGAUCAUGAUUUACAGCAAAAUUUUAAAAGGUCCAAUUUUACUCACAUAAGAAGAAGAAAACAUUCAGCAAGAAGCAUUUCUUUUGCUUUAUCUUUCCCAGUUAAAUAUGACUUUAAAAAAGACAAAAUUUUAAAAGGUCCAAUUUUACUCACAAAAGAAGAAGAAAACAUUCAGCAAGAAGCAUUUCUUUUGCUUUAUCUUUCCCAGUUAAAUAUGACUUUAAAAAAGACAAAAUUUUAAAAGGUCCAAUUUUACUCACAUAGGAAACAAGAAGAAAACAUUCAGCAAGAAGCAUUUCUUUUGCUUUAUCUUUCCCAGUUAAAUAUGACUUUGAAAAAGAAGAGCACACCUCAUUAGCCGUAAUUGUCUGAUUAAUACAAAGAAAUGGACUCAUAUCACGGGGUUCUACUACCCCUAUGGUAGUGUUUACUAUCCUUAUUUCACUCAAUAAUUACAGUUACUUUAACCAGAAUGCCUGCCUUGUUUGGCAUUUUGGGAGAGGAAGCAUAUGACUGUAAACCCUCUUCAAACUUUCAGACUUACGUUUGCUUCUUCUAAGUCCAUCGAC